UGCGGGGUCGUCUAAUGGUAGGACAUGGCCCUUUGAAGGCCAGUAUGAGCGUUCGAAUCGUUCCCCCGCAGCAA
Molecule: transfer RNA, 74 nt
Filed under: Parcubacteria group bacterium
Lineage: Bacteria
Description: tRNA-Gln
Rfam family: tRNA
About the family: Transfer RNA (tRNA) molecules are approximately 80 nucleotides in length.
Source: RNAcentral